Ictalurus punctatus (channel catfish) is the source of this 3019-nucleotide long non-coding RNA. The record is from Ensembl. NCBI's taxonomy places the organism in Eukaryota, Metazoa, Chordata, Actinopteri, Siluriformes, Ictaluridae.
UUCCAGUACAAAAAAAAAAAAAAAAAAUUCACUCAGGGGCGCGAGCGCACGUCAAGUAUCAUUUACAAGAGCGCGCUGCCAGGUCACGGGGUCUUUCCUUAACUCGUAACUGAUUGGCUGAAUGUCUGAUAGAAUAUUUAAAUCAGCGCGCGGUGAUUGGACGCGAUGAGAGCAGUUAUGCAAAUGAGCACCUGGUAGUGGUCUCUAGGAGAAAGGCAAAGGACGGAAAGCCUGAGAGCGGUUGUUAGAGCUGUGGCUAUUCUGUUUAGAUUUAACCUAAGAAACUACUCGGUUAAAUAUAUUAACUUAAAUGACUCCAAGUGUGCACAGCUGUUGAAAUCUUUAGUGUUUAAAUCGUUUCCCCCCUCACACACACACACCCGUCUAAACUAAACUACAGUGAACUCACACCGCUUUUAGUCUCGCGCGCGUGUUUGUGUUUGUGAAAGCGGUAGAGUUACUGUUAAUCCUGCGGUUUAAUAAUAAUAACAAUAAUAAAAACCGUUGGAUUUUUACCUGCACAAAACUGAAGAACUCGGAUUAAAGCAAAGAAGGACCAACGGGGGAAAAUUAAGAAAAACUUUUUCAAGCGGACAUCAAAUCGGGAAAAGCUUCUCCUUGCCUGGCUUUUCGUCGAUCUGGCACCGACGACCAGAGUCGCCGAAAUCACCCCCCCCCCCCAAUUCUGACGUUUGACGUGAACGUUAACCGACGCUCUUGACCCGUGUCUGCAUGCUUUUCUGUGUCACCGCUGCAGGAUUGCCCGGUUGGAUAAUCGCACGAAUGAGCAGCUGUACGCGUGUUCCCGUGUGCGUCUAAAUCGAAGGUACGCACGUGCGAGGUCGCGGUCGCCGGAAGUCGCCGCGGUCACGCCGACUGUGCGGCAGCAUCGGUGUACAGCGCGAGUUCCGCGAAAACGGAAAAAAAACGCAUCUGAAAUGGGCAAGAAGCUGCCGAGAUCGACAGUGCUAACAGAUUCGACAAGAAUUCAGAGCUGUCUUUUUACAGAGUGAUAAAAAUCCAUCCACUCCUUUUUUUUUUUUUUUUUUUUUUUACUAAUCGAGCAGUGUAAGUGCGAGUUCUUUUGGCGCGCGGUAUCCAUGUCGUACAACGAUGAAUAAUUUGCCACAUACUUCUUUUUAAACGCUGCCCGUUUCCAUCGACGAAUAACCGGGGGCGCGUUCAUUCUCCGACCGGGUCUGACCUUCGCAAAUAUAUAUAUAGCGUUAGUAAGUGGAAGCAGCGCUAGCGACAAUAAACUACGACUAGCUAGCUUACGGGUAAAAUGAUAGGAUAAAUACCUCUGAACCAUAAAGAAGCCAGUGUUGCGGCCUUUGCGUCGUCACUUGCUCGGCGCAGAAUACUGUCGUCUUGGAGCUCUCCACAACCCCCCUCUAUAUCAGUCUGGAUUAAAGAUUUAAUCUUCUUUUUAAAACCUGAGAAAAUCAAGUACAGCAUCAGAGGCAGGGGUGACUCAUUCUGGGGAAAAUGGGCGCAAUUUAUUACCUACUUCAAUGAUGUGCGCACCCUGGUGGUGGAUCGAGGAAAAGCGGACUGUAAUUCCUGAUCAUCUUACCCCUUUUUGUUGUUGUUGUUGUUUUGGGGUUUUAUGUUUUUGUUUGUUUUUUUCUCUGGUUGUUUGUUUAUUGUUUUUUGUUUGUUUGUUUGUUUCCCCCUUUCUUUUGGUUUUGGCCGUGGUUGUUUGUUGGGGUGUCAUGUAAAAUGUAAACUUUCAAUGAAAAUUCUACGAUCAAAGAAAAACCAUGGAAUAAAAUACAGAUAUUUGUACAUCCAACCAGGAUGUUCGUCGGCGGUGCGUUUCUCCGAGAAAUCCCACCUCGAAGUAGGACCAAGCGCCAAAAGGCUUUUAUGCGCAUUCGAGCUUCAGGUACAUCGGGAAACCCGAUUUCUGGCCACGUGCCAACGUCCGUGGAGCACGGGUUCUUGGGCAAGUUGUAAGGGUCACUGUCGAGUUCGGCUGCCUUUAAUUUAAGCCGAUCGUCGUUUUCUUAGCGUCAGUGCAUACCCUCUAUAUACGAGCGGAACCAUUUGUAGCUCGAUAUUCACAGGAGGCGAUAUUUUGUCAUGGGUGAAUUGAGGACCGCGAAGGAGACACACACACACACAGCCCAUCAUGACCGACGUACUGAGAUACGUUAUUAUUACUCUUAAGGUUUCUAUAAGACCGCUUCUAUCGGAUGUGCUCAAGUAGAUAAAACAAAAAGAAAAAGAGAGCGAGAGAUUAAGUUAGUACUACUAUACGCCUUCGAGGCUGUUAGCCUGAGCUGACGAAUGCCACGUUCACGCGAAGUGGAACAUCUCCUUCAUCGGCAUUUUGGCCGCGUUGGAACGGGUUGCUAAUAAAACAAGCGCAUUUAGCUGAUCUGAUUGAAGUGGUACUGGGAGGUAGGGAUUGGGUGGCUUAGGGCUCGUAUAAAAAGUCUCUAUCACGUGUCGUGGUGCUCUCAUCAUGUUUUGCCACUUCAGUCUGAUUCCUUGGCAGUGAGCGCGCGCGUGUCUCGCUCCAAUUAGAACCCCGGCACAUAAAUACCCUCUCAUCGGCCACAGUCUGGUGGUAUUUGCUUCUCGUCUGCAUGAGCACGAGGUCGAUUCCUAACCUUCUUCCUUUUUUUCCGCUCUUCUUCACGUCGCUUCACACCGCCCUCACUCCCGCAAACCCCCGGGGCAGGAUUUUCAUCCGUGCUGGCGAACCCGAGGCCGGUUCGACGCGUCACGUCGCUGCAGUGCGAGUGCUCUGUAAAACACACACGGGCAACAAGAUACAGUGGUGACGACUCAUUAUUAUUGAUUAAGCUGAUAAACGCCGACUCUGUAUUACUCUCGAAGCGGAGACGUGUCGUGAUCAUUCAGGGGCAGUGGGGGCUUGACGGUUAAGGCGCCGGGUUAGUGAUCGGAAGCCCUAGCACUAACAAGCUGCCACUGUUGAGGCCCGUGAGCAAGGCGCUUAACCCUCUCUCCUCCAGGGGGUGCUGUAUCAUGGCUGACCCUGCACUCUGAC